AAACGCAUAGCUCAGCGGAAGAGCUCUUGCCUUACACGUAAGAAGUCGGAGGUUCAAAUCCUUCUGCGUCCACAA
Molecule: transfer RNA, 75 nt
Filed under: Parcubacteria group bacterium CG10_big_fil_rev_8_21_14_0_10_36_14
Lineage: Bacteria
Description: tRNA-Val
Rfam family: tRNA
About the family: Transfer RNA (tRNA) molecules are approximately 80 nucleotides in length. Their secondary structure includes four short double-helical elements and three loops (D, anti-codon, and T loops). Further hydrogen bonds mediate the characteristic L-shaped molecular structure. tRNAs have two regions of fundamental functional importance: the anti-codon, which is responsible for specific mRNA codon recognition, and the 3' end, to which the tRNAs corresponding amino acid is attached (by aminoacyl-tRNA synthetases). tRNAs cope with the degeneracy of the genetic code in two manners: having more than one tRNA (with a specific anti-codon) for a particular amino acid; and 'wobble' base-pairing, i.e. permitting non-standard base-pairing at the 3rd anti-codon position.
Source: RNAcentral